Lotus japonicus is the source of this 1844-nucleotide RNA transcript. It is a transcript of the gene named protein DETOXIFICATION 21-like, with no coding region annotated. The transcript is spliced from 9 exons. Lineage: Eukaryota; Viridiplantae; Streptophyta; Magnoliopsida; Fabales; Fabaceae. The record is from RefSeq and is a predicted model, not a curated record.
CGGUUCUACCAUAUAAACACAUACAAAGCCUCUCUUUGGAGCUGCACAACAAGGCAAACAAUUGAAAAUGGAGGGUGAUCUAAAGAAGAAGCUUCUAGGCACAAAGAAAGCAUCAGAAGAGGUAGAAGAAGAAGAAGAGUUAUCAUUGGGGAAGAGGUUGUGGAAUGAAAGCAAGCUAAUGUGGAUUGUGGCGGCACCAGCCAUAUUCACUAGAUUCUCCACUUUUGGGAUCAAUGUUAUUAGUCAAGCAUUUGUUGGUCAUAUUGGCUCAAAGGAAUUAGCUGCUUUUGCUCUUGUUUUCACUGUUCUCAUAAGAUUCGCUAAUGGUAUUCUGUUGGGAAUGGCAAGUGCAUUAUCAACACUUUGUGGACAAGCCUAUGGUGCAAAAGAGUAUGGCAUGAUGGGAGUGUAUCUACAAAGGUCAUGGAUAGUUCUAUUCUUAACUUCACUCCUUCUUCUUCCCGUUUUCUUCUUCACAAGCCCAAUUUUGAUCCUCCUAGGCCAAGAAGAAAGCAUAGCACAAGUGGCAGGAACCAUUUCUCUUUGGUCAAUUCCAGUCAUGUUUGCUUUCAUUGUCUCGUUCACUUGCCAAACAUUCUUGCAAUCUCAAAGCAAGAACACCAUUAUUGCAUUCUUGGCAGUUUUGUCAUUGUCUAUUCAUUUAGUCCUCUCUUGGCUUUUGACAAUAAAAUAUGAGUUUGGGAUUGCUGGAGCAAUGACCUCAACAAGCUUGGCAUACUGGAUUCCCAACAUUGGUCAACUUUUAUUUGUUGCAUAUUGUUGCCCUGUAACUUGGAAUGGUUUCUCAUUUUUAGCAUUCAAAGACCUCUGGCCGGUAGUCAAACUUUCCCUUUCAUCUGGUAUCAUGAUGUGUCUUGAACUCUGGUACAAUACAAUAUUGGUUCUUUUGACAGGUAAUAUGAAAAAUGCUGAGGUUGAAAUUGAUGCUCUAUCUAUAUGUCUCAACAUAAAUGGAUGGGAAAUGAUGAUAUCACUUGGUUUCAUGGCUGCAGCAAGUGUUCGAGUAGCGAAUGAGCUUGGAAAAGGAAGCGCCAAAGCUGCAAAAUUCUCUAUUUAUGUGACAGUGCUUACAUCGUUCACGAUCGGGUUCCUCCUGUUUUUAUUUUUCCUAUUUUUCAGAGAAAGACUUGCUUAUAUAUUUUCCUCAAACGAAGAUGUCGCCGCAGCUGUUGGGGAUUUGUCACCUUUGUUAUCAGUUUCUAUACUACUAAACAGUGUUCAACCUGUACUUUCAGGAGUAGCAGUUGGAGCUGGUUGGCAAAGCACUGUAGCUUAUGUAAACAUAGGGUGUUAUUACAUUAUAGGUAUUCCUGUAGGUAUUGUACUUGGUAAGGUUAUCCACUGGCAAGUCAAGGGGAUUUGGAUUGGAAUGUUGAUUGGAACAUUGAUUCAAACUAUAGUGCUAACUAUAAUCACUUAUAAAACUGAUUGGGAUGAGCAGGUCAACAUAGCUCGCGCACGUAUUAGCAAGUGGUCCAAAGUGGAUAGUACUGAUCAAGAAACAGAAACUAAAGUUAUCAGAUGACUAGUUUCAGGGUCAUCAUUGGCAGUCUAUGUUGUUACAUGCAAGGUGUUGAUAGAUAGCAAUUGAAUUUGAUUCAGAGAGCAAUUCACAAUGAGAAACUCGAGUUUAAAGAAAAGGCCAGGGGACCUAUGAAGUGGUUGAUGGUAGAGGCAGGCUGCCAUUUAAUUAAUAAAAUGCAUUUUUAAAGUUAUUUUUCAUUCACAUUUCAUUUCUUUUUUUUUCAUUUCUACAUUUUUUUAUUAUCUUUUUCUACUUUUCCUAUCACAUCACAUUAAUAUUUCAUUUCUCUCUUUUAAUU